AAUGAACGCUGGCGGCAUGCCUAACACAUGCAAGUCGAACGAAGCCUUUGGGCUUAGUGGCGCACGGGUGCGUAACGCGUGGGAAUCUGCCCUUGGGUUCGGAAUAACAGUGGGAAACUACUGCUAAUACCGAAUGAUGUCGUAAGACCAAAGAUUUAUCGCCCAGGGAUGAGCCCGCGUAGGAUUAGCUAGUUGGUGUGGUAAAGGCGCACCAAGGCGACGAUCCUUAGCNGGUCUGAGAGGAUGAUCAGCCACACUGGGACUGAGACACGGCCCAGACUCCUACGGGAGGCAGCAGUGGGGAAUAUUGGACAAUGGGCGAAAGCCUGAUCCAGCAAUGCCGCGUGAGUGAUGAAGGCCUUAGGGUUGUAAGCUCUUUUACCCGGGAUGAUAAUGACAGUACCGGAGAAUAAGCUCCGGCUAACUCCGUGCCAGCCGCCGCUGUAA
Molecule: ribosomal RNA, 447 nt
Filed under: uncultured bacterium
Lineage: Bacteria
Description: bacterial SSU rRNA
Rfam family: Bacterial small subunit ribosomal RNA
Source: RNAcentral